CAAUAGCGUAUAUUAAAGUUGUUGCAGUUAAAAAGCUCGUAGUUGGAUUUCUGGGAGGGUGCCAAUGUCCGCCUUUGCGCGUGUGCAGCGGCGCCCUUCCAUCCUUCUGUUAACGUCUCUUGGCAUUCAUUUGCUGGUGGCGGGCUCAGAUAUUUUACCUUGAGAAAAUUAGAGUGUUUCAGGCAGGCUAGGCCGGAAUACAUUAGCAUGGAAUAAUGGAAUAGGACUAUAGUCUCUUUGUUUGGUUUGAGGGACUGCAGUAAUGAUUAAUAGGGAUAUUGGGGGCGAUUAGUAUUUAAUUGUCAGAGGUGGAAUUCUCAGAUUUGUUAAAGACUAACUUAUGCGAAAGCAUUUGUCCAAGG
Molecule: ribosomal RNA, 362 nt
Filed under: uncultured eukaryote
Lineage: Eukaryota
Description: bacterial SSU rRNA
Rfam family: Eukaryotic small subunit ribosomal RNA
Source: RNAcentral